CUCGCACGAGACAGAGUCUCUUCCCUUCAGUUUUCAUUUCUUCUUCUAUUUUGACCUAAUCGGCUGUGCCUGUGGCUGCUCAAAUCUUCAAUCCAGAGCUGCACCUUUGCUGCGGCUGUGCUUGUGGCUGUUGCGGCUGUGCCUGUGGCUGCUGCGACAGCAUCUGUGCCGCUUCUUCAUCGAUCUCACGAUCUCCCGCCCAGGCCUAGGCACACACAACACAAACCCGAUCAAGAGCCGCCACAACCACCUCCAUUGCCGAAGGGUUUAUAUGGCAGUAUGGAGCUUAUAAUUGUAUACAUGCAGGGAAAAACAAGGAAGUACUUGCGAUAUGUGAGAGCAGCAGGUCCCCUCACAGCUGUUCUUUCGGGCACAAUUUUUGUAAAAAUAUUUAAUCCAUCUUCCAUAUCUUUGGUAGGAGAUAUACCUCAGGGCCUACCAAGCUUUUCUAUUCCUAGAGCUUUUGGAUAUGCUACAUCUUUGAUCCCCACCGCACUUCUCAUUACUGGUGUAGCUAUUUUGGAAUCUGUGGGCAUUGCAAAAGCAUUAGCAGCAAAGAAUGGGUAUGAGCUGGACUCAAAUCAAGAGUCAUUUGGUUGCAAGCAAGGAAACUGUACCCUAUAAUCUAAUGAUUCUUGGUGAAUAAGACUCUCCCUUCUUAGUGUGAUGAAGAUAUGUUGGAAGGUUGCUUUGUUAAGGUUUUGGAAGAAUGGAUGAAGCAGAUUUUUUGCAAGGAUGCUAUCUUUAUGUGUAUUUUUGUGAUGGGUUGUAAUCUUUAAUUUCAUAAGUUUAAUUUGGAUUGCUUGCUUUAUUUGUGUAUUAUUUUUUUGUCAUGGUUUGUAAGAGAUUAUAUUUCCUUUCCUUGCUUGGUUGGUUGAAUGUGUGAAUGUGAUAUUCAUUUAGUUGUUUAGAAACUUAGAUUGGAAUGAUGGAUUUUUAUAGGUUGAA
Prunus dulcis (almond) is the source of this 948-nucleotide long non-coding RNA. RefSeq lists it as uncharacterized. The record is from RefSeq and is a predicted model, not a curated record. The transcript has 7 exons. Lineage: Eukaryota; Viridiplantae; Streptophyta; Magnoliopsida; Rosales; Rosaceae.